RNAcentral lists this long non-coding RNA (528 nucleotides) under Lactuca sativa (garden lettuce). RNAcentral's name for it is "long non-coding RNA (LSAT_LNC004781)". Lineage: Eukaryota; Viridiplantae; Streptophyta; Magnoliopsida; Asterales; Asteraceae. The record is from RNAcentral.
UAAUUGUAUGUGAUAUUCAAAUGAAUUAAAAUGUAGGAACAAAGAGCGAAGAAAAAAAAUUCCAACCACAAGUUUGGUGCCAACAAUUGCAAGGCCCGGUACAAACAAGAACAUACCCAACUGAACAUCCAGCAAGGCGAGGCCGAUUGAAUAUCUUCGUGAUUGCUUGAAGACCAACCAAGUGGUUAACAUUGUAGUCGAUUCUGGGAUUUUGGAAGUCGGGACAUAUGAUUUUUCGGUUACAUGUGAAGAAUAUUUUCAACUGCUGAGAAAACAAACAACUGAUGCUUCCAUCAUAACUGCUUGGCAACUGUAAGUCCAUAAAUAUUUUACUAUUAUUAGUUGACCAUAACAUUUUUUGUUUUCUUGUUUGUAGGGUUCUUCAUUCAAUGGUUUGGACACGUAUGAACAAAUGUGCUUUCUUGAACCCUUAUAAUAUUCUAUGGGAGACAUGCCAGAAAAACCCAGAGGGUGUCGUUAGUUAUCUUGUUGAUUCCAUUCGUCUGCACCAUGGAAAAUUGUUUCUCA